UGUUGCCCAGGCUGGAGUGCAGUGGCGUCAUCACAGUAGCCUCAAACUCCCAGACCCAAAGGAUCCUCUCACCUCAGCCUCCCAAGUAGCUGGGACUACAGGGUCUUGCUUUGUUGCCCAGGCUGCUCUCAAACUCUUGGAUUCAAGAGAUCCUCUUACCUCAGCUUCCCGAGUAGCUGGGAUCACAGGAACCUGCCACCACACCCAGCCAAUGGUAACAUUUUGCAAAACUGUAGUAUAAUAUCAAGACCGGAAUA
RNAcentral lists this long non-coding RNA (257 nucleotides) under Callithrix jacchus (white-tufted-ear marmoset). RNAcentral describes it as "lncRNA (ENSCJAG00000075989.1)". Lineage: Eukaryota; Metazoa; Chordata; Mammalia; Primates; Cebidae. The record is from RNAcentral.